GAGUGAUGCGCCUUUCCCUUAUCCGAGCUCGCACCCGCUUCCGAGCGGUUAACUUGAUUCGUGCCAUACUCGCUUUUUACUGCUAGUUGAUAAAACAUAGAUGCAAGAAUGAGCACUUACAUGCUCAGCAAGCUCACAUAAUUGUAGAUAGCAUUUAACAAUUUAUGCAUUUAGGGCACAAAAAACAGUUUAAAUCAACAAAGCAUCAAAUACCAGAACA
This 220-nucleotide long non-coding RNA is filed under the name Daucus carota (carrot). RNAcentral describes it as "long non-coding RNA (DCAR_LNC001957)". The record is from RNAcentral. Lineage: Eukaryota; Viridiplantae; Streptophyta; Magnoliopsida; Apiales; Apiaceae.